GAUGAACGCUGGCGGCGUGCCUAAUACAUGCAAGUCGAGCGAACGGACGAGAAGCUUGCCUCCCUGAUGUUAGCUGCGGACGGGUGAGUAACACGUGGAUAACCUGCCUAUAAGACUGGGAUAACCUCGUGCAACCGGAGCUAAUAUCGGAUAAUAUUUUGAACCGCAUGGUUCAAAAGUGUAAGACUGUCUUGCUGUCACUUAUAGAUGGAUCCGCGCUGCAUUAGCUAGUUGGUAAGGUAACGGCUUACCAAGGCAACGAUGCAUAGCCGACCUGAGAGGGUGAUCGGCCAGACGGGAACUGAGGCACGGUCCAGACUCCUGCAGGAGGCAGCAGUAGGGAAUCUUCCGGGAGGGGCGAGAGCCUGACAGAGCAACGCCGCGUGAGGGAUGAAGGUGUUAGGAUCGUAGAACUCUGUUAGUAGGGGAGUACAUAUGUGUAAGUAACUGUGCAGAUCUUGACGGUACCUAAUCAGAAAGCCACGGCUAACUACGUG
This 497-nucleotide ribosomal RNA is filed under the name uncultured bacterium. RNAcentral's name for it is "partial 16S ribosomal RNA". It matches the Rfam family "Bacterial small subunit ribosomal RNA", at positions 28 to 507 of the family's 1533-position model. The record is from RNAcentral.